CUGCCUUUUUCCUUCGACCACAUUUUCUCUCAAAGAUACCUUUGAGCUGUUUCAUAGCUGUUCAGCAUGUGUCCCUGGUAGACAUCACUAUUGACUUUUUUGACUUACCUUGCUGUUGAUCUUGACAGAUCCUUCAAUGCCAUUUUGGUUGUAUUGGGUCUUCCGGAUAUUUAUUGCUGUCCAGUUGCACAUGGUUUUUGUUCUGUAGCUGCUGAAUGUUGUAUUCCAGAUGGGUAAAUCCAUGCACUUGUCAGAUGCAUGGACUGUUCUGGACUGUUCUCCACCUAUUUGGCCUGCCCUUUUGGAGGAAGGAAGAUAGUGCAGAGAGAGCCCAGGGGUGAGGAGAAGACCCUUCUAGUGGGUGUGAUUGGUCCAUGGGGCUGACUGUCCUGCCUCUCUGCUCCUCAUCAACUGUGUGACCUUGAGCCAGACACUAACCCCUCUGAGCCACGGUUUGUUCAUUUGCAAAACAGGAUUAUGGGACCCGGAUUACCACCUCUUAGGAUUGUUGAGGUUCAAGCCCUAAUACAUAAAGCUUCUGUGUUGGGAUCUCUAGGAAGGAAUCUUAGGAAUCACUGAGUUUGGCUCCCUCAUUUCACAGCUGAAGAAACUGAAGUCGAGAGAGCCUUUUGAAGGCAGGGAAUGUACCUCAUCCAUCUUUCUAUCCCUGGAUCCAGAGUCAGAUACUUACUAGGUGUUUAAUAAGUACCUUGUAAAUGAGUUGAGUGACCAGCUCAUGAUUUAAUCUCUCUCGGUGACUCUGUUGUUAUCAACAUCAAUUCCUACUGUGCUGCUCUGCCAUGAUGCCUUCGGAACCAAUUAGGCUGUAAUAGAAUGUGGCUACUAUGCUUUUCCGCUUAAUGUUUCUUCUCUUACCUCUCUUACUGCUACCUAUCGGUUCUUCCUGGAGAACUGGAUUGGAUCCCUUAGAGGAAUCGGCAUCGCUUUCUAAUUGGCUGUUCUCUCUAGGCUGGAGCAAGAGUGAAGGGCUUUGAGGGAUUUAAAGUUGGUACCUUUAUGGGAGUCACAAGGAGCAUUGCAAAAUAUUCCACAGACCAGAAGCACAGCCUCUUUUAAGCUGGAAGUUGUCUAAAGUCAUCUGGUCUCACCCGCUAAAGUCAUGCAAGUAUUUUCUAACUCACUGCACCCUUUCUGGUGCCUUCUACGCAUGGCAUGACUAGUUUACUCAGUGAAGCAGGUGAUGGUAGUGGCUGGUAAUGGCCGAGGAAUGCACUGGCUUCUAUCCCCUGGAAUCUCUAUCCAGUGACCUGGAUUCUUAAGUACUUUUCUCUCCCAGCGUAGGGGAGGUAAACACACAUAGAUGUGGAUUUCUCCUCUCGUUUCUGAUUAUGACCUAGUGAAUUCCCUUCUCUUGUUCUCUCUGUCCUUGCCAGCCCUCCUGAGUCCUGAUCAAGGUGAAAUAUUCUUUACUGUUAUAAACUAGUAAAGGUAUCCACACUAGUUUAAUAAUAAUUCAGUAGGUAAGGGGAGACAUAGGGGAAAUGUUAGUUGUAUCAUUGGAUUUUAAAUUGAGAUAGGAGUAAUCUCAUUUAGACAAAUUUCAAUAAUCAAUUGAAAGCCUGUAAGUUGCAGAUAGAUUACCAGCCGUAAAUUGGGAUUUAUGUUCUGUGGGUUUUUAAUGAGGGCAACUCAGGCAGCUCAGCACUUGAACUGAUUCACGUCUGGAAAGCACCAGCUGGCUCAGCCUCGCCGCGGGCAGUGUAGCAGAAGGGCACGGAGCAGACAUCAAGUUCAAGUUGUAGGCAAUAUCAAUACCUCCCUCCCGGGGAUGGUGUGAUGACUAAAUGAGAUCAUGUAUGUGAAAGGGUUUUGUAAAUCAUAAAGCACACAAAUGCCAGCCGCUCACAAUACCUGUUUCAAAAUUAGCAUCAGUGUCUCGUGUCUGUGCCGGGUUUUGGGUAGACAAGGAACAGGACAGACCAAGGAGCCUAUCUGGCAAGAAGCAAAGGGAUGCUGUGCGGAUGAACAGUCGUAAUUAGGGGAGUUGAUUAUUACAAACAAAGGGAACGUGUAAGUAUCCCAGACUCAAAAAGGGGAUAUGAAGUCUAUCUUACCUGGACCCUGUAUGGGAUUGAACUGCUGUAAGUGGUCAUCAGCAGGCAGGAAAUACAAAGCCAAAGAAGGCAUUCAGAGUGCAUGGUUCGGAACACCACGAGAGAGCAGAGUGAAGCCCAAAGCCUAGUUCCCGGAGCAGGAAGAAAAUCAGGGUGAGAUGCAGGUUGGAGUCAGGAAGGCCACUGAGAGACGCUGAAGUCUGAAUGCUGCCCAUGUGAGAGGCAACAUCUGUGGGAACGCUUCAAUGUCAGAGCCAACUGGGACAGAUGAUUGAUUAAUUAAAAAUGUUAUGAAUAUUGAUGCAGUAUUUACUAUGUCCUACAUGCUUAUUUACAAUAUUGAAUAAGACAGAUAUGGAUAUGUCUUCACAGCCUGGGGACCGGUGGGAUAAAGGGAUGAAUAAAUAAACAGGCAACUAUGUUACACUGUGGUGGGAUUAUGGGAUAGGAGGACCUUCUGUCCUAGCCUUGCCUGGGGGAGGGGUGAGGCAGCUACUGGAGGCUCCUCAGCCUGAGCCGGAGGGCCACCCAAGCAGGCUCCUCCCCACACCAUUGCCACUGCUGUUGCCAUCACUCAACUGGACCAUUGCAAGAGGCUCCCGAUUGAUCACCUUCUCCAAGAGUCUCUCCCGGCUCCCACACACGGAGUCAGUCACUCUCUUCCGGGGACCUUGCUGCCAGCCCUGCAUGCCCUGGGGCCCAGAUUCUCUGGACACCCCCACAGUUCACAUGUGCUCUGGGCUGUGGCUUCUGCAGGGCACCCACCUCUGGGGCGGGCCACCACAGAGAAAUAAUAAACAGCAGCACUGCUUCCAGAGCCCUCUGCACCCGCAGGGCACGGUCUCACUUAACCCUCGAAACUACUGGUCCCACCGACAAGUAUUUAACGAGAGCCCGUUUGCGCUGGGGGUCGAGAAGGACACGGUGAUGCAUUUUGUGCUUCAGGAGCUGACAAUUCAGCUGCAUGACUGUGAAAGUCAUCGAACUUCUCUGACCUUGUCUGACCGUGAGCAUCAGCCAUCCUCAGGGUGAGUUCCUACAGGGCAGCUGCUCUGAGUCCCAGAGUUGGAGGCGUACGAGGAGACCACACAGUAGAACUACCAGCUGCUAGUAGAAAAACCACAAUGCACAUGAGCAUUCUUCCAGAAUCACUUAACCCCAGAACUUCCAGGCCUCGUCUAGUCAAUGCAUCAGCACUGUCUGAGUCUCUGCCGCAUCCAUGUGAUUUUUUCUCAGCAACAGGAGGACUUUGGAGAUCAUCAAAAUAGUAACGGCGGUUAUCUCAGGACAAUGGGCUUAUGGUGAACAGUAUUUCUGUUUUGCGCGGCUUUCUGUAUUUUCCAAAAUAUCUAAAACACAACUGUAAUGAUUUGCCUUGAGGCAAGGAAGGAUGAAAUAUAUUACAGCCAUACGCCUUUUAAAGAAAAGGAUCUGUUUUGGUUUUCUGUUCUAAAACCAUGUGUGGGUGGCUCAGUCGGUUGAGCAUCCGACUCUGGAUUUUGGCUCAGGUCAUGAUCUCACAGUUCAUGGGAUUGAGCCCCACGUUGGGCUCUGCGCUGACAGCUCAGAGCCUGCUUGGGAUGCUCUGUCUUCCUCUCUCUCUGCCCCUCCCCUGCUCAUGUUCUCUCUACUUCUCUCUCAAAAUAAACGUUGUUUUAGAAAUUAAAAAAAAAAGAGUAAAAAAUGUGAUUCCAGAAAUUUCCUCAGUUUGCCUCAUCUAUAAAAUAGAAAUACUGAUUUCUUACUGGGUCAUGAACUUGGAAUGCGGUCAUAAACUUGGAAAGUGCUUUAUAAGCAUGUUAGGUAUUAUUGCUGUUGGCAUCAGGAGCAAUCACCUAUGGCAAGAAGCUGUGAAGGUCCUUUCUCAUUGAUACUUAACACAGCCUCACUGCAACCUUGUGAAAUACAGGUUGUUUUGCAAUUUUACUAAUGAGGAAACAGAGAGGGGACAUGAUCCAUCUGAGGCCACACAGCAGAGGCAGGAGGAUUCAAGCCUUGAUCUCCCGACUCCAAGUCCUGCUUACCUGCAAGUCUUUGAGGGCUGACACCAUAUCUGCUAAAUGCCUCGUGGGGCCUGCCCAACAGCCCCGAGCUGACUGUGUGGCCUUAAAACAGCUGUACCCCCUUAUCCUCAGCUUCCUCACGAGUGAAACCAAGAAAUAAUCUUUAUCCUCUUUUCUCGACUUGUGUGAGACACAACCUGGAGCAGUUGUGGGCUUAUUAUAAGCACUCGUAUGGGCAUUGAUUAGUAAGCUGCAUAAUCUUUAGGACUCAAGGUCUUCCCCAGAAUAUUCUUUUCCAAAGGGAGUUUCUUAGGGCAGCUGGAGCCCUCUGAGGAGGGGAAAUGACAAAAAGCUAAUCAAACAAGCUCGUGUCGGGGACCCACACUGUGUGUGUGUGUGUGUGUGUGUGUGUGUGUGUGUGCAGGGCUGCCUGCUGUGGUCGGGCCCAGGGAGGCCCCUGCUGAUACCAGCUGGCCACACUGGAGGCGGCAGGACACUGCUGAGAAUCUCCUUCCCAUCUCACGCAAGAAGAAACAACUGUUCCGCCAAAGUUUCUCUGGUAAACAGCGCCCAAAUAGUGUUGGGUGAUUAUUUUUUCCUUAGGGAACACUCACUCCCUAAAGACAGCUGCGUGUCUGCCCAGACUUGGAUAGGAUUUACUAAUAUAUAUUAAAAAAAAAAAAAAGGUCCUGUCAGCAGGAAUUGGAAUUACAAAGGCGCUCGCUGCCUGCCUUUUCCCCUGGCCUCUUUUUUUCCUCAGACCUACCAAAAAGGCCCAGAAGCAAGACGGAAGUUUAGUGCCCCUGUUUCUCCCCCUUAAAAGCCACCCUGGAGCCCUAACCCCUACCUUCAAACUGUCUGUCCAGGGUCUGCCCUCCCAGGACAACUUGCCGAAUCACACCCCCUUUCCCCGCUGCCCUCGAGGCUCUCAAAACUCAGCUGUUCUACGGCCUUCCUUCCUGCUCUUCCACUUUCUGCUAACUUGCAGCUAAUCUGACACAUGAUUAAUCUGAUGCAUCUGAUGAUACAUUUGAGGACGUGGUAGGGGGGGCUCCUCCGAGUGUCACUUCAGCGGGGACCUUGGGGCAGGUGGUGACUCAGCCAGAGAUGGUUUCUGCGAUGCGGGGGGAAGCGUUUUCCAGCAGGUGCCUCAAAUCACAAAGCCAGCCUGUCUCCAGCUUCUCAAGAAGGGCAAUGCUCAUCAUGUUUGCAAGAUACACUACCAGAGCUGUUUUCUCUCUCUGGAUGUUGGACUGUUCCUAGCACACGGUCCAGUGUGUCACUACCAAGACGUGAGUCAGCCAAAGGCUCUCGGGAGGAAUGGACUCACUCAGCCCCCUAGGGAAGGAGCCCCACGCAGUGCUCUUCUAGGGGGUGGGAGGAACAAUCUCUCCCCAUCCUGCCCCACAAAGACAGGACUCCCUUAUUCAAAGAAAGGGGCUCUGGAGAGGACUUGCCAGGCGAGGAGGGACUGAAGCUCCCUUCGUUCCCUCUGAGUUCCCCCUUCUUCAGGGUUUUUUCUCUGGGUCUAGCUGCCCCCUUGAGUUCUGCCUGUGCACUCUCAUUAAAGCUCAGUUGGUUGGGCGUCCGACUCUUGAUUUCGGCUAAGGUCAUGAUCUCAUAGUUCGUGAGUUCGAGCCCCACAUUGGGCUCUGUGUUGAUGAUGCAGACCCUGCUCAGGAUUCUCUCUCUCCUUUCUGUUGCUCUGCCCCUACCUUGCUUGCUCUCUCUCUCAAAUAAAUAAAUAAACUUAAUUAAAAAUUUUAAAAAUAAAGCUCUAAUUCAAGUGCAGACCCAAAUCUUGUCUACUCCUGGUUCCCACAGCAUCCCUGAAAUGGCCUAUAGGAACUUCUCUAAAUACUAAGAGUUAAAUGGAAAUAACCACAGACAAUGCAAAAGGCUUGCAGGUAGAAUGCUUUUGGAGUCUUUAAUCUUUGGGCUCUAGCCCUGAAGGGCUGGGACAGCCUCGCAGGCCCAUCCCUGGGGUUUCCCCUGGCAACUCUCUGCCCAUUUCUGGGGAGUGGCAUCCUUUCUUUUCUCAACACUCAUCUAUGGUCUCCUAACAGCCCGUAUCCUUCCUGGCUGAGACCCCAUCCAAGACAUAUACCAGUCUGGCGCCUCCCUUGGUGGGAAGAGCUCAACCCACUGGCAGAACUGGGAGGGCUGAGAUGGAGGGUGUCUUCCCCUUUCCUAUCUUGGUGGUCCCUCUGCCUAGCCCGCUAAGGAGGGACUUCUUCCCGCAUACACAGGGAGGGCCCCACAUGCCAUUUUAUGGGCUCACAGAAUGCCAGUGGCCACAGCAGUUGUUAGGUAACAAGAGAAAGCAAACGUUACUGAAAACCACAAUUGCCUUCUCUGGAGGGUGGAGCCUGGGAAAGGCAAUAAACCAGUCUCAGGCUUCCACUGCUCUUGGAGAAGAUGGUCCAUCAUUACUCAACUGAAUACUCUGACGGUUUUGAAUGUUCGAAGAUGGAGCUGGAAUCUGGCCCAGGCAUAGGAGCUGGAGAGAACUAAUUGCCCAGGGCAAUUUAAGGAGGGCCUUUGUUUAUUUGUUUGUGCUUUGAGUCUUGGAAGCUGAGAAAGAUGGAGAGGAGCCCAGAGAAGGACGGGAGCCGGCAGUCUAUGGAGGCUUGGUGGGAGAGGCCCUCGGAGCGGGUGCUCACCAGCAGUCCACAGGGUUUUGCCGGGUUCUCCACUGGGUGGUGGGGGGAGAGAUACAGUUCCCAUGACAGCAAACCUCCAACCAAAGUGUGGCUAUUCACUUUGUUUCGCCUGGGGAUGGGUGGACCGGGCUUAUGUCCCAUGACUGGGUCAGUGAAGGAAGAGCUACCAGAGGCAGAGAGGAGGACAUUUCAGAAGAGGCAGGAAAUUAGAGUGAAAGGGAGGACAUCUGCUUCCCCAUCCCCGAAGAGGCAGGACCUUGGGGACAGCCCUCCCUAGCCAGCUCCUGAGAGGCAGCAGAGGGGAGGACUGGGGCACAUACAGUACGGCCAGGUCACCUGGGUUUGGCUCCUGGCUCUGUAUCUCCCUGGCUUUUUGCUCUUGAGCAGGUUGCCUGAGUUUCCCCUCCUGAAAACUGGGGACAACAGCAGUAUCCACCCUGCAGGGACGUGGUGAGGAUGAAAGGCUCUAUAUCCAAGUUCCUAUCCAACAACUCCGUUUGGAUGUCCCAGAAGUAUCUGGGAAUAUAACGUGUGCAAACCUGAGCCUCUGAUCUUCUCUCCAAAUGGAUCCUUCCUCCAGGAUUCCCCAACUCUGUGAAUGAUCCCUUGAUGAGCCACACAAUCUCAAGAUCUGUCUUCUGCCCCAGGGAGCAAUGUAAUCCUGCUCCGCUCCAGCUGUGCAAGGAACACAGGCUUGGUUGAAGAUCCCGAUCUGAAUCUUGGCUGGUUACCACCUUCUCUCCGGGUGACGGGUGACGCUGGUAAGUCACUUAACCUGAUCCUUCAUUUCUUUGUUUACAAAAAGGGGAUGAUAAUAAGUCUUGUGGUGAGGAUAAAAUGUGAUAAAGUUGUUUGUGCUCUAGGCCCCUGGUUGGAGCUCAAGUCAAGGGCCACCCCCCACCCCCCACCCCGGUAAACAGGGACGUGAAAGGAGGUGGAUGAGGAGGGAGCUAAGUCCCCUCCACGGGACUGUGCCUUAUGGGAAAAGGAGGAAGACAGCUUGUUGGUGGGGAGUGGGGCUUCCUUGUGGCAGGAGCCCCCUGGAGGAAAGACGUCUCCCAGGGGCUUGAAGAGAGGACUGACUCUUACUGACACUUCAGGGAGGAGAAUUUGUCUGGAAAUUCUGCCCAGUGGCCUGUUAACCUGAGCUUGAGGCACACUCCCAGGGACUGGGUAACUCUGCUCUGAAAGCAAGAGAACCCCACACUUCUCAGUAAGACCAGCCAAGAAUCUCAGAGUCUCAGAAAUUUGAAGCUGGUUUAACACUGAGUUAACUGCAGCUCAGAGGGGACAAGUCACUUUUCCAAGGUCACACAGAACACAUAUGGCAUGGCUAAGACAAGAAAUAAGAAUGAGAAUAACCAACAACCUGUCAGAAUAGGCGGUCUGGACCCAAGUGGGGGGUCAGGUUUGAGAGUGGUACAGUGACCCACAGGCUGAGCUAGAAGGGAAGUCACUGUGACAAUGGGGCUUAGGGGCUCUGUGACAGUGUUGACCUAGGCUUCUCAGGUAUGUUUACUUUUUUUGAAAUGUUAAUUUAUUUAUUUUGAGAGAGAGAGAGAGAGAGAGCAUGUACAUGCAUGCUAAAGUGGGGGAGGGGCAGAGAGAGAAGGGGAGAGAGAAUCCCAAGCAGGCUCUGUGCUGUCAGCACAGAGCCCAACGCAGGGCUCAAACUCACCAAACGGUGAGAUCGUGACCUGAGCCGAAAUCAAGAAACUGACUGAGCCACCCAGGUGCCCCGACUUUUCUACAUAAAUAUCGCUACAGGCGAUCUACCUACCAGUAUUAUCCGGUGUUGCUGAUGUGGAAACCAAGGCACAAUUUAGGUAAAGUCCCCGAGGUCUCAAAGCCAGGAAGAGCAGAAGCAAGAAUACAACCCAGGUCUGUUUGGCACCAAAGCCCGAGCUCACUCUGUACAGCCCUGCUCAUUCCCAGGCUGGAGACUGUUCUGCCACAUAUGGCCUCUCUUCCUCCCCGCAGACUCUGAGCCCAGGGUCCCUGAGAGCACACCAUCACCCCAAACAACCGUCACCCAUGCGCACACACACCCAGACCUGCUCUCUCCGGCCUGUCAGGGACCUGCUCCUCGAUUCACUGGAACAGAAGAGGCCUCCAAUGACUCUGGCACGUCCGGGUUGCCGGCUUCUCACUCUCCAGCCUGGCAGGUGUGAUGAGCCUACUCUUGAACGCCGGCCCACGGGAGGGGCUGCAGAUUGGAGGGCCCCAAGGGCCUCCUGUUGGCAGAACAUCAGCUCAGACUGCAAGCAAGACAGGGUGUGUGAGUCCAGGCACCUUCAGAAACUCCCGCGCCUGGCCUCCCUGUGCUCCUGGUGACUAUGCAAGCCCUUCUUCAAUCAGAUUAGAUAUACUUCCCCUCCCCAUCUAUCUUCAUUCCUCCUUAUCCGGGAAAUAUUCCCGGGCUGUCCCAACCCGCAGUUCCAACUUCACACAGAAUGCACUCUUCAUUACUUAGCGUUACUAACUGCUGCAGGGACGUCUCUUGUCUCCAUAAGUCGAUUGUACAUUUCUGUGUGGGUCGAAGGGGCUGCCUUCGAUCCCAGCCCCACUCACUCCCCAGUGCCUGGCACAGUGUUCUGCUUAGGAAGAGACUGGAACAGUACUAACUGAGGAUGAUGAGGAUGAUCACUAUCUACCCAACACCUUUUGGAUGAUCUGCCAUUUUCUUUCUUUCUUACUUUUUUUAAAACAUUUUUUCAACGUUUAUUUAUUUUUGAGAGACAGAGAUAGAGCACGAGCAGGGGAGGGGCAGAGAGAGAGAAGGAGACACAGAAUCCGAAGCAGGCUCCAGGCUCCGAGCUGUCAGCACAGAGCCCAAUGCGGGGCUCGAACUCACGAACGGUGAGAUCAUGACCUGAGCUGAAGUCGGAUGCUUAACCGACUGAGCCACCCAGGCGCCCAGUGAUCUGCCAUUUUCUAAAGCUGGGCCCGGAGGGCAGAGGGGAUGGGAUGAGGGCAAGGAUAGCCACAGAGUUCUAGUGUCUAGGAAGUUAGCUUCCCUAUGAGGAGUGGGCUUAAGGCAACAACUGUCCAUUCCAGGCCCAGGUCUUGCAUCAUACCUGGAGCUAAAGUCCAGGAGAGGGAGCAACCAGGAGAGGGAAGUGGCUGCUUCCCCAGCCACUGGCCCUCACUCCUCCGUCUCUUGGAACCUCUGGGCCUCCACCUCAGCAUGGGAAGGACCACGCUGCUUUUCUCUACCUGUGCAGUCACCAUAAUGAAGCUGCUGCCUGAUGAGACCACAAGGGAAGAGCUGCACCAGAUGUAAACUUCAUAGUGAUUUAUAGAGCAGAGCUCUUGGGCUCGCCGGUGCGCAGCUGCUGUUCCAGCCCGCCCCGUCUGCCCGCCCCGUCUGCCAGGCCCCGCUGCUGGUGCUACUCUUGGGGAUUUCAUGAAAGCAAAGGUGGGGGAUGCACUGGGGGAUCAGACUGAUCUGGUCAGAGUCAGCACCAGCUGGGAGAACGGGGUGUCUCAGAGUCCUUCCCUAGGGCAGAAACGGAGCCCACCAAGCUUCGAACAAAUCAACUUUCUUAUACUUUUCCCAUCAGAGCAGGGAAGAUUUUCCUGGCCUCUCUCCUCAUAAAUUCAACACAUAGAGAUACUGAGAAUUGGCUGUUCAAAGGGAGAGUCUGCAGACCGAGUAGGGUCAUCCCUGCCCCAGAGAAAGAGUGCAAGAAGUAUCCUGGGAGACACUCAACCAGCUAGCAGCCCUCAAGACCCAGACGUGAGGCCAUUGGUAUCUGAUGGGUACACUCAACCUAGCUCUUAGCUGCCUGGAUGGGCUUAGAGAGAGGCACAUCAACCACACUUGUGGGAUCUACACUGGGUGGACCAAAGGGCUCUGGAUAUGCCCUCCUCAUUCUCUGUGCCAAACUUGUCCUCCCUCUGAAAAGCCAGCUUGAGCCUCAGCUCCUUGGACUCUUCCCUGGUUAACUGCAGUUGAUUGUGAAUAGCUCGGCACCCCCCUGUCCUACGUGUGGACUUGGGUUCCCUUCCAGGCUGGCCUCCGCCAUCGCUCACACUGGCCUGGGCAGGCAAUGCCUGAGAACAGGGGCUGUGUGGCAGUCACUAGUGUUGGUCACUAAGUUCUCCUCCUGGGCACUCAGUAGGACUUCUUUGCCCUGCCCUCCUAAGUUGCCGUGUGUCUUGCUUUGGCUAAUGAAAUGUGAGUAGAAGUCACAUGGAUCGCUUCGCCAUGGAAGCUUUAAGAAAUAGUGCAUGGUUCGCCACCUCCUUUGCCCUGAUAUGGUACCUACAGGAGCACACCUCCAAACAGAGCCUCUGUUAGCCUGGACCCCUCAGUCACAAGGUAAAGCAGAAACCCAGCCGAGCCGCAGAGUGUGUAUAACCUGAACAGGAGCUAAAUAUUGAUUGCUUUAAGCUACCAAAUCCUAGGAUUAUUUGUUGCUGCAGCAUAACGUCGUGCACCCCGAUUAAUAAAUAUGCCCUGUUCCUGAUUGCCUUUUCCAGGCUUCUCGUACACAUGGAUGCCCUUGGCAGAUGCCGCUGUCUGAUUCAGUCUAGAGACAUGGCCCAGUCCUUAGCCAUGAUCAGAGAGGUAGAUAACCCUACGGGUGGUAGACCUAAGGCCUAGCAGGUAGAGGGAACCGCCCCAGAACGUGUAAUCAGAAGCAAUGGGCAAAAAUUGUCUUCCCUGCCAACCCACGUGGGAGCUCAGCUGCCCCCACCCCACCCUGGAACGGAGUGCAAGGACUUCCCCAGGGUGGGCUGAGCCACUGCUCAGUUUCCAGAGUCCCCGCUUCACAUCCCGAAGGGCAAAGGCCCGCCUACCUCCAGGGGUGAGGGGGACGGGCACACACCCCACUCCACCCAGCACUAGGAAUCCUCCAGAAGCCCAGGAGGCAAGGCUGUACUCACACUGGUGGCAUACUGGAUGUCCUUCCAGAUGGAGGUUUCCCGGGACAGGUCGGAGGCCUCAAAGAGGUUGUCCAGGAUGACCUCUCCGAUCAUGUCAUGGCGGGAGAAACGGUCGAAGUCGAAGACGCUGAGAUGCAGCUUGCGGUCUGCCAGCUCCUCGUAGGGCACGGGGAAGUGGAAGUUCUCGUCGAAGGUGGGGUUCAGGGUCUUGCGGUGCACCCGCGUCUGCAGCUUGCGUUUGCGAUCAGGCAGGAGGUAGAUCUUGACGUAGGGGUCAGAGCUGCCGCAAAAGUCCUUGGCGGGGAGGUCGAAGGCCCUGAGGAUGCGCACGAUCAGGGUCUCGCUCUCGUAGUCAUAGCGCAGGCUGAAGUUGAGUUUCCCGCAGCUCUUGGCAGCCUCGGACUUGGCAUCAUCCCCGUCCACCGAUUUCUGCUUGUAGAGUUCGGGCUUGAUGCGGCCAAUGCUGGUGGGCUGCUCCGCCGCGGGGGGCAGCUCGUUGCCGUAGUCCACGCUGGACACGUGCAUCUGCCGUGGCAGGUGGCGCUUGAAGGACGUGUGCCUGGCGGAGGGGGCAGAGAUGGCGUGGUCAGGGCUCGGG
Molecule: long non-coding RNA, 12232 nt
Organism: Acinonyx jubatus (cheetah)
Lineage: Eukaryota; Metazoa; Chordata; Mammalia; Carnivora; Felidae
Exons: 8
Source: RefSeq, a predicted model, not a curated record